CUAGUCUUUCAUGGCGCGUCAGUAUACGUUCCCUACCACACGUUCCUAUUUGAUUACAUUUGUGCUUUCCAGCCCGAUCGAAUUUUAGCUGCGUGAAGAUAAAGAAAGUCUAGAACCCAAAUCCCAGACAACUUAUAUUUUAUCCUGUCUCUUGGUUUAUGAUUAUUCUUUCUGUAUACAAAGUCACAUGAAAAGACGAAGUCAACCGGAACGGAACAAUAAAGGUAACAAGGUGUGCUGUAGUGGCGUGAUUUGUUAAUCAUAGACAUGACAUCUCGAAUCUGGUACGGAUUUGUCUUUAUUCAAGAUUCCAACACAAUUGUGUUUUAAUCACUUUAAAAAUUUGCCAUUAAGCUCUGAACGUUUUGUAUUCACAGUUCACACACGGACUUUUGGACUUUUGCCGCUUUGGCUGAUUGCGGAGAUGCCAGUUACCGAUGCGGACGUUUUUAAUUGCAUAACUGAAAAUGACAACGUUGCGCCUUGAACGAUAUUUUCAAUAUGGCUGCUGGCAUUCGACGAGGAAAUGUAGUACUUUUAAUCCCGACAUUUUUCGUUAGAUAAAUGGUAACAGCUAACAGCCUCCAAUUUAUACUUUGCGAUUCCAUUCCAUCACGUUGCCUGAAACUGCAGUACAUUUUCCCAAAAUGUUUCUUGCAGCAUGUUGUACGUUUCGUCACAUGAUUUCAUCACGUAAUUUAUUCUUUAGGAUUUUAAUGUGCUUUAUUGGAGGAACUCACCAAACUUGAAAAUGGGAACACCAAAGUUUGCUGUGUUUAUUGGGACUGUUUA
Daphnia pulex (common water flea) is the source of this 792-nucleotide long non-coding RNA. RefSeq lists it as uncharacterized. The record is from RefSeq and is a predicted model, not a curated record. The transcript is spliced from 2 exons. Lineage: Eukaryota; Metazoa; Arthropoda; Branchiopoda; Diplostraca; Daphniidae.